UAAGACUUGUAGGACACUAACCUACAUCUUCUGAAUGCAACUCAGCUACUUUAAUUAAGCUAAAGCCUC
This 69-nucleotide transfer RNA is filed under the name Boana raniceps (Chaco treefrog). RNAcentral describes it as "Hypsiboas raniceps (Chaco treefrog) tRNA-Ala". The record is from RNAcentral. Lineage: Eukaryota; Metazoa; Chordata; Amphibia; Anura; Hylidae.